UCAACCGAGAUUCCCCCAGUAGCGGCGAGCGAACGGGGAGCAGCCCAGAGUCUGAAUCAGCUUGUGUGUUAGUGGAACGGUCUGGAAAGUCCGACGGUACAGGGUGAUAGUCCCGUACACCAAAAUGCACAGGUUGUGAACUCGAAGAGUAGGGCGGGACACGUGGUAUCCUGUCUGAAUAUGGGGGGACCAUCCUCCAAGGCUAAAUACUCCUGACUGACCGAUAGUGAACCAGUACCGUGAGGGAAAGGCGAAAAGAACCCCGGCGAGGGGAGUGAAAAAGAACCUGAAACCGUGUACGUACAAGCAGUGGGAGCACCUUCGGGUGUGACUGCGUACCUUUUGUAUAAUGGGUCAGCGACUUAUAUUCUGUAGCAAGGUUAACCGUAUAGGGGAGCCGCAGGGAAACCGAGUCUUAACUGGGCGUUAAGUUGCAGGGUAUAGACCCGAAACCCGGUGAUCUAGCCAUGGGCAGGUUGAAGGUUGGGUAACACUAACUGGAGGACCGAACCGACUAAUGUUGAAAAAUUAGCGGAUGACUUGUGGCUGGGGGUGAAAGGCCAAUCAAACCGGGAGAUAGCUGGUUCUCCCCGAAAGCUAUUUAGGUAGCGCCUCGUGAACUCAUCUUCGGGGGUAGAGCACUGUUUCGGCUAGGGGGUCAUCCCGACUUACCAACCCGAUGCAAACUACGAAUACCGAAGAAUGUUAUCACGGGAGACACACGGCGGGUGCUAACGUCCGUCGUGAAGAGGGAAACAACCCAGACCGCCAGCUAAGGUCCCAAAGUCAUGGUUAAGUGGGAAACGAUGUGGGAAGGCACAGACAGCCAGGAUGUUGGCUUAGAAGCAGCCAUCAUUUAAAGAAAGCGUAAUAGCUCACUGGUCGAGUCGGCCUGCGCGGAAGAUGUAACGGGGCUAAACCAUGCACCGAAGCUGCGGCAGCGACACUAUGUGUUGUUGGGUAGGGGAGCGUUCUGUAAGCCUGCGAAGGUGUGCUGUGAGGCAUGCUGGAGGUAUCAGAAGUGCGAAUGCUGACAUAAGUAACGAUAAAGCGGGUGAAAAGCCCGCUCGCCGGAAGACCAAGGGUUCCUGUCCAACGUUAAUCGGGGCAGGGUGAGUCGACCCCUAAGGCGAGGCCGAAAGGCGUAGUCGAUGGGAAACAGGUUAAUAUUCCUGUACUUGGUGUUACUGCGAAGGGGGGACGGAGAAGGCUAUGUUAGCCGGGCGACGGUUGUCCCGGUUUAAGCAUGUAGGCUGAUUGUCCAGGCAAAUCCGGAUAAUCAAGGCUGAGGUGUGAUGACGAGGCACUACGGUGCUGAAGUAACAAAUGCCCUGCUUCCAGGAAAAGCCUCUAAGCAUCAGGUAACAUUAAAUCGUACCCCAAACCGACACAGGUGGUCAGGUAGAGAAUACCAAGGCGCUUGAGAGAACUCGGGUGAAGGAACUAGGCAAAAUGGUGCCGUAACUUCGGGAGAAGGCACGCUGGUGUGUAGGUGAAGUCCCUGCGGAUGGAGCUGAGACCAGUCGAAGAUACCAGCUGGCUGCAACUGUUUAUUAAAAACACAGCACUGUGCAAACACGAAAGUGGACGUAUACGGUGUGACGCCUGCCCGGUGCCGGAAGGUUAAUUGAUGGGGUUAUCCGUAAGGAGAAGCUCUUGAUCGAAGCCCCGGUAAACGGCGGCCGUAACUAUAACGGUCCUAAGGUAGCGAAAUUCCUUGUCGGGUAAGUUCCGACCUGCACGAAUGGCGUAAUGAUGGCCAGGCUGUCUCCACCCGAGACUCAGUGAAAUUGAACUCGCUGUGAAGAUGCAGUGUACCCGCGGCAAGACGGAAAGACCCCGUGAACCUUUACUAUAGCUUGACACUGAACAUUGAGCCUUGAUGUGUAGGAUAGGUGGGAGGCUUUGAAGCGUGGACGCCAGUCUGCGUGGAGCCAACCUUGAAAUACCACCCUUUAAUGUUUGAUGUUCUAACGUUGGCCCCUUACCGGGGUUGCGGACAGUGUCUGGUGGGUAGUUUGACUGGGGCGGUCUCCUCCCAAAGCGUAACGGAGGAGCACGAAGGUUAGCUAAUCCUGGUCGGACAUCAGGAGGUUAGUGCAAUGGCAUAAGCUAGCUUGACUGCGAGCGUGACGGCGCGAGCAGGUGCGAAAGCAGGUCAUAGUGAUCCGGUGGUUCUGAAUGGAAGGGCCAUCGCUCAACGGAUAAAAGGUACUCCGGGGAUAACAGGCUGAUACCGCCCAAGAGUUCAUAUCGACGGCGGUGUUUGGCACCUCGAUGUCGGCUCAUCACAUCCUGGGGCUGAAGUAGGUCCCAAGGGUAUGGCUGUUCGCCAUUUAAAGUGGUACGCGAGCUGGGUUUAGAACGUCGUGAGACAGUUCGGUCCCUAUCUGCCGUGGGCGCUGGAGAAUUGAGGGGGGCUGCUCCUAGUACGAGAGGACCGGAGUGGACGCAUCACUGGUGUUCGGGUUGUCAUGCCAAUGGCACUGCCCGGUAGCUAAAUGCGGAAGAGAUAAGUGCUGAAAGCAUCUAAGCACGAAACUUGCCCCGAGAUGAGUUCUCCCUGAGACUUUAAGUCUCCUGAAGGAACGUUGAAGACGACGACGUUGAUAGGCCGGGUGUGUAAGCGCAGCGAUGCGUUGAGCUAACCGGUACUAAUGAACCGUGAGGCUUAACCUU
RNAcentral lists this ribosomal RNA (2679 nucleotides) under Klebsiella pneumoniae. RNAcentral describes it as "bacterial LSU rRNA". It matches the Rfam family "Bacterial large subunit ribosomal RNA". The record is from RNAcentral. Lineage: Bacteria; Pseudomonadati; Pseudomonadota; Gammaproteobacteria; Enterobacterales; Enterobacteriaceae.